CCUACGGGAGGCAGCAGUGGGGAAUAUUGCACAAUGGGGGGAACCCUGAUGCAGCAACGCCGCGUGAGUGAAGAAGUAUUUCUGUAUGUAAAGCUCUAUCAGCAGGGAAGAAGAUGACGGUACCUGAGUAAGAAGCCCCGGCUCACUACGUGCCAGCAGCCGCGGUAAUACGUAGGGGGCCAGCGUUAUCCGGAUUUAUUGGGUUUAAAGGGAGCGUAGGCCGCAUGUCAAGCGUGCUGUGAAAUGUCCGGGUGCAACCCGGGCCUUGCAGCGAGAACUGGCGUGCUUGAGUCCGCGGAAGGCAGGCGGAAUUCGUCGUGUAGCGGUGAAAUGCUUAGAUAUGACGAAGAACCCCGAUUGCGAAGGCAGCUUGCUGCAGCGGAACUGACGCUGAUGCUCGAAAGCGCGGGUAUCGAACAGGAUUAGAUACCCCAGUAGUC
This 440-nucleotide ribosomal RNA is filed under the name uncultured bacterium. RNAcentral describes it as "partial 16S ribosomal RNA". It matches the Rfam family "Bacterial small subunit ribosomal RNA", at positions 338 to 795 of the family's 1533-position model. The record is from RNAcentral.